Molecule: ribosomal RNA, 253 nt
Filed under: uncultured bacterium
Lineage: Bacteria
Description: partial 16S ribosomal RNA
Rfam family: Bacterial small subunit ribosomal RNA
Source: RNAcentral
UACGUAGGGGGCAAGCGUUGUCCGGAAUCAUUGGGCGUAAAGCGCGUGUAGGCGGUCCGGUAAGUCCGCUGUGAAAGUCGGGGGCUCAACCCUCGGAUGCCGGUGGAUACUGUCGGGCUUGAGUACGGAAGAGGCGAGUGGAAUUCCUGGUGUAGCGGUGAAAUGCGCAGAUAUCAGGAGGAACACCAGUGGCGAAGGCGGCGAUCUGGGAAGAUACUGACGCUGAGGUGCGAAAGCGUGGGGAGCAAACAGG